Molecule: transfer RNA, 73 nt
Filed under: Pseudomonadota bacterium
Lineage: Bacteria; Pseudomonadati; Pseudomonadota
Also listed under: 3 other names
Description: Proteobacteria bacterium (gut metagenome) tRNA-Gly
Rfam family: tRNA
About the family: Transfer RNA (tRNA) molecules are approximately 80 nucleotides in length.
Source: RNAcentral
GCGAGUUUGGCUCAGUUGGUAGAGCGCUAGCUUCCCAAGCUGGAUGUCGCGGGUUCGAGUCCCGUAACUCGCU